Molecule: ribosomal RNA, 465 nt
Filed under: uncultured Klebsiella sp.
Lineage: Bacteria; Pseudomonadati; Pseudomonadota; Gammaproteobacteria; Enterobacterales; Enterobacteriaceae
Description: bacterial SSU rRNA
Rfam family: Bacterial small subunit ribosomal RNA
Source: RNAcentral
CCUACGGGUGGCUGCAGUGGGGAAUAUUGCACAAUGGGCGCAAGCCUGAUGCAGCCAUGCCGCGUGUGUGAAGAAGGCCUUCGGGUUGUAAAGCACUUUCAGCGGGGAGGAAGGCGGUGAGGUUAAUAACCUCAUCGAUUGACGUUACCCGCAGAAGAAGCACCGGCUAACUCCGUGCCAGCAGCCGCGGUAAUACGGAGGGUGCAAGCGUUAAUCGGAAUUACUGGGCGUAAAGCGCACGCAGGCGGUCUGUCAAGUCGGAUGUGGAAUCCCCGGGCUCAACCUGGGAACUGCAUUCGAAACUGGCAGGCUAGAGUCUUGUAGAGGGGGGUAGAAUUCCAGGUGUAGCGGUGAAAUGCGUAGAGAUCAGGAGGAAUACCGGUGGCGAAGGCGGCCCCCUGGACAAAGACUGACGCUCAGGUGCGAAAGCGUGGGGAGCAAACAGGAUUAGAUACCCGUGUAGUC